GGGGGUAUAGCUCAGUGGUAGAGCAUUUGACUGCAGAUCAUAAAAAUAAUCUAUAGCCUCA
RNAcentral lists this transfer RNA (61 nucleotides) under Pteropus alecto (black flying fox). It matches the Rfam family "tRNA". From Rfam's summary of the family: Transfer RNA (tRNA) molecules are approximately 80 nucleotides in length. Their secondary structure includes four short double-helical elements and three loops (D, anti-codon, and T loops). Lineage: Eukaryota; Metazoa; Chordata; Mammalia; Chiroptera; Pteropodidae. The record is from Rfam by way of RNAcentral.